Molecule: ribosomal RNA, 466 nt
Filed under: uncultured bacterium
Lineage: Bacteria
Description: partial 16S ribosomal RNA
Rfam family: Bacterial small subunit ribosomal RNA
Source: RNAcentral
GAUGAACGCUGGCGGCGUGCCUAACACAUGCAAGUCGAACGAUGAAGCCCAGCUUGCUGGGUGGAUUAGUGGCGAACGGGUGAGUAACACGUGAGUAACCUGCCCUUAACUCUGGGAUAAGCCUGGGAAACUGGGUCUAAUACCGGAUAGGAGCGUCCACCGCAUGGUGGGUGUUGGAAAGAUUUAUCGGUUUUGGAUGGACUCGCGGCCUAUCAGCUUGUUGGUGAGGUAAUGGCUCACCAAGGCGACGACGGGUAGCCGGCCUGAGAGGGUGACCGGCCACACUGGGACUGAGACACGGCCCAGACUCCUACGGGAGGCAGCAGUGGGGAAUAUUGCACAAUGGGCGCAAGCCUGAUGCAGCGACGCCGCGUGAGGGAUGACGGCCUUCGGGUUGUAAACCUCCUUCAGUAGGGAAGAAGCGAAAGUGACGGUACCUGCAGAAGAAGCACCGGCUAACUACGUG